This 495-nucleotide ribosomal RNA is filed under the name uncultured bacterium. Its description in RNAcentral is "partial 16S ribosomal RNA". It matches the Rfam family "Bacterial small subunit ribosomal RNA", at positions 28 to 507 of the family's 1533-position model. The record is from RNAcentral.
GACGAACGCUGGCGGCGUGCCUAAUACAUGCAAGUAGAACGCUGAAGGAGGAGCUUGCUUCUCUGGAUGAGUUGCGAACGGGUGAGUAACGCGUAGGUAACCUGCCUGGUAGCGGGGGAUAACUAUUGGAAACGAUAGCUAAUACCGCAUAAUAGUAGAUGUUGCAUGACAUUUGCUUAAAAGGUGCAAUUGCAUCACUACCAGAUGGACCUGCGUUGUAUUAGCUAGUUGGUGGGGUAACGGCUCACCAAGGCGACGAUACAUAGCCGACCUGAGAGGGGGAUCGGCCACCCUGGGACUGAGACACGGCCCAGACUCCUACGGGAGGCAGCAGUAGGGAAUCUUCGGCAAUGGACGGAAGUCUGACCGAGCAACGCCGCGUGAGUGAAGAAGGUUUUCGGAUCGUAAAGCUCUGUUGUAAGAGAAGAACGAGUGUGAGAGUGGAAAGUUCACACUGUGACGGUAUCUUACCAGAAAGGGACGGCUAACUACGUG